Suricata suricatta (meerkat) is the source of this 1515-nucleotide long non-coding RNA. RefSeq lists it as uncharacterized. Lineage: Eukaryota; Metazoa; Chordata; Mammalia; Carnivora; Herpestidae. The transcript is spliced from 2 exons. The record is from RefSeq and is a predicted model, not a curated record.
AGUGUUGAAAGAUAGGUAGGCUCUGUGAAAACCAUCACCUCAGUUCCCCCACCUCACCAUACCAGGCAGCUUGACCAUGACUCCGAAUAGGCAAGUGACACCUCCUCAGGGCUGUCUCAGCCCAUCCUGACCGUCCUGGGAAGGGAAGCAACCCAUGCUGACAGCACAGUGAGGUACCUGAGAGAGCAUCAGUCCUCCUGGGAACCAUCAUCCUGGAGUCAGAGUGAUAAACUGGGCUUGACUUUUCCAUUGAAAAAUGUACAUCUGUGAAACCAGGAGCUGCCUUGAAGAGCUGCUAUCUUAUACAACCCAAUGGAUACCUCAGAAUGGCUUCUUUACACGGCACAGUUCUUCAAGGCCUCUUGGCCUCUUUCCCUGGGUGUUCAUAGCAAGACAGUCAUCAAAGCUGAUACCUAGUGAGGAUCAGAUAGCAUAGCAGGGUGGAAGCAUCAGAACAGCACAUGGUUGGGGGUGCUGGGUCCUCUUCUCCUUGGGUGCCUCUCUCCUGGACCUUCCCAGCCUACUCAGAAGGGGUCCAUAGUUCAGCUUAGGGCAGGCUCACACUCAGCCUUGCUGGGGUCCUUUGGUCCCCUGGGGACCUGUGUAUGACACAGGGAGGCCACUACUUUGAGAAAAAUGACCCUGGUGUUGGAUUCAGGAAGGCAGCCCCAGCCCUGUCCUGCAUUCACAGCCUUGGAUAAGUCAAUACUUCCUUUCUCUAACCUCAUCUCCCCUCCUCUGCAGGGAAGGGGCUGAGCAUCCUUCCCUCCAUAUUCUGUGGUUCCACACUUAGCUCCUUCAGUCCAGAGGCCUAGGCCUUGUGCCAAAUUAGAUGUUGCUAAUCAUUCGCAGCCACAGAAUUGGAAAGCAGCAGCGUCAGGGACAGGCUACUCCCCUACCUCAACCAAGAAUAAACACUUCUUAUUCUGAGCCCACUUUCAACCAGAACACUUGCUCUGAGCAAAAGAAUCUUCCUUCCCAUGCUCAACCCAGCCAUAAUUUUUCUAACCACAUGGCAAACCUCAGCCACUCCAGUUUCCAGAAAGACUCCUUAACUUUACGGAACAUGCCAGAUUAUCUCUUGGUGUUUGGUCCCCAGUGACGACUUUGUCGGUGGUCUCCAGGAAUUCAAAGACACUCCGGAGCUCAGGCCAAAUUCUUUUCUCUGGAGAGCUGAAUUGUUCUGUAAAUUUGUAACUAUGCUGGCCACCUCAUGUGCUAAAGGAAGAAGCCAGUGGACCACCAAGAAAUGAAAGUUUAUUACUCCAUGUCAGGUGCUAUACUAGACAUGGUAUUCUCAAUUAUGCACAUGGCCCCCACACUGAGGAGGACACUGAGGGAUGCUAAGUGAUUCAUACCAAGACAAACAGCUAGAAAGUGAUGGAAUAAGGAUUUGAACACAGAUCUGACUCCAAAAUCCAUAUUCUUCCUAUUACCCUAGAGGUAUAUGUCUUCCAAAGCAUGUAGAUGCUGAAAAGAAAAUGUCUAUUCAAAGAUUAAACAAAGUAGAUGUUC